This 259-nucleotide ribosomal RNA is filed under the name uncultured bacterium. RNAcentral describes it as "partial 16S ribosomal RNA". It matches the Rfam family "Bacterial small subunit ribosomal RNA", at positions 524 to 781 of the family's 1533-position model. The record is from RNAcentral.
UGCGGAGGAUGCAAGCGUUAUCCGGAUUCAUUGGGUUUAAAGGGUGCGCAGGCGGAAUAAUAAGUCAGUGGUGAAAGCCUACAGCUUAACUGUAGAACUGCCAUUGAUACUGUCAUUCUUGAGUAUUGUUGAGGUAGGCGGAAUGUGUCAUGUAGCGGUGAAAUGCUUAGAUAUGACACAGAACACCGAUCGCGAAGGCAGCUUACCAAGCAAUAACUGACGCUCAUGCACGAAAGCGUGGGGAGUCAAACAGGAUUAG